CCGUGAGGGAGAUAGGGCCCCUCGGGGAAGCUCAGAGAAGCUGGACAGUCGUCCAAAGUGACAAAACAGUGUAACAAGAGUUGUGAUGGUCAAAGUGAGAGCACCAGUCCCUCCUUGGGAGGGUCACGGGAGGCCUUCCAGAAGGACCCCUCCUUCACACAACCCUAAGGAAGGAGGAAAGAAAGGUGGGAUGCAACGGUUUUGAAGACUGACGAUGAAAAGUUCCUAUCCGAAGGAGCUUCUGGACAGUAGAGCUGAGAAAGAGUGUCUACCUGCGUCCACGUAUCUGGUUACAGGAUCUCCCCAGAGGAGGAACCUCAUAGAAAACAAACAAAACAAACAACUCCGGCUCGAAGUCACAGAAUGAGGAGAUGAGACAGCAAAGAAAGACUCCGUGAGAAGGAUCUUACCAGGUACUGUUAACAACUAAACACAACAGUAAACCCAUGCCUCCCGAGUCAAAAGACGUAAGCCACAGGAAACCACUGGGAGGCUCUCCUGAGACCUCAAACGGUGCCAUGUGAGGGAUGGUUCCAAAACAGACAAGGGCAGGAAGCUGCACCUUCCCUCCAAGACCACUGGGACCAGGCUGGUAACUGCAGGAAGUGCCACCUUCCCUCAAGACCCACCAGACAAGACCGUCAGAGCUACCCAGGAGGGUGCUUUAAUCUGCAUGUGCUUUUGCUCUUUUUCUCUCCUCUCUGUAAAGUUAAAGUUUAAACUGUUGAUGCUUCUUAGCUAUCAACCAUGAUACCUCCAAGGUCUUUAUCUUUCAUACUGUUGUUCGGUUGUUCGUAUUUUACCUCAGUCCCUCCUCAGUUGGAGAGUCCAGGGCCAGGCUGCAAUUUGCUCACCAUUUGGCUACAACGUGUGAUUACACAGUAUGCUGGCUUUGUACUUACUUGCCUUUUGGGGCCAUCCAGCUUUCUUUGCUGUCAGUGUCAUGGAAUUAAUCAAAUCACUUCCUAGGUGAUAAGACUCAACCGAGAAGUGAUCUGGGGAUUAAAAAUAGUUUAACAGGUCAAACAACCAGAAUUCUAAAACCUCCUGUCAUGUCAUACAUAGAAGGGAAUUUGGGGGUCCUAAACAAAAAACGCUCAGAAACCUUUUGUUUAGCUUUCCCUUUUUGUUAGCUUUUCCACGUAAACUUUCACAAAAGGAAAGCCAAUAGUGAUGGUAAAAUGAGGGACAAAGAAGUGUUUUGAGAAAAUGGGACCCAAUGAGAGGAAAAGAGAUGGUAAGAGUUCACUGAGGGAAGAGGGCCCCCAAAGGGUACUCAAGCAAGGAAGCAACUGAGGUGAAUAUGCCUCUGGAGAGUCCGCAGAGAAUACAGAAGGCGGUGGUAUGGAGUCUGCAGACGGUCUAGAACAUGGGCAUCCGUAGAAUCCAGU
Long non-coding RNA from Lontra canadensis (Northern American river otter), 1391 nucleotides. RefSeq lists it as uncharacterized. The transcript is spliced from 3 exons. The record is from RefSeq and is a predicted model, not a curated record. Lineage: Eukaryota; Metazoa; Chordata; Mammalia; Carnivora; Mustelidae.